RNAcentral lists this ribosomal RNA (492 nucleotides) under uncultured bacterium. Its description in RNAcentral is "partial 16S ribosomal RNA". It matches the Rfam family "Bacterial small subunit ribosomal RNA", at positions 29 to 507 of the family's 1533-position model. The record is from RNAcentral.
AGUGAACGCUGGCGGUAGGCCUAACACAUGCAAGUCGAACGGCAGCACAGUAAGAGCUUGCUCUUACGGGUGGCGAGUGGCGGACGGGUGAGGAAUACAUCGGAAUCUACUUUUUCGUGGGGGAUAACGUAGGGAAACUUACGCUAAUACCGCAUACGACCUACGGGUGAAAGCAGGGGAUCUUCGGACCUUGCGCGAUUGAAUGAGCCGAUGUCGGAUUAGCUAGUUGGCGGGGUAAAGGCCCACCAAGGCGACGAUCCGUAGCUGGUCUGAGAGGAUGAUCAGCCACACUGGAACUGAGACACGGUCCAGACUCCUACGGGAGGCAGCAGUGGGGAAUAUUGGACACAGGGCGCAAGCCUGAUCCAGCCAUACCGCGUGGGUGAAGAAGGCCUUCGGGUUGUAAAGCCCUUUUGUUGGGAAAGAAAAGCAGCAGGUUAAUACCCCGCUGUUCUGACGGUACCCAAAGAAUAAGCACCGGCUAACUUCGUG